Molecule: ribosomal RNA, 2900 nt
Filed under: Klebsiella quasipneumoniae
Lineage: Bacteria; Pseudomonadati; Pseudomonadota; Gammaproteobacteria; Enterobacterales; Enterobacteriaceae
Description: 23S ribosomal RNA
Rfam family: Bacterial large subunit ribosomal RNA
Source: RNAcentral
UUAAGCGACUAAGCGUACACGGUGGAUGCCCUGGCAGUCAGAGGCGAUGAAGGACGUGCUAAUCUGCGAAAAGCGUCGGUAAGGUGAUAUGAACCGUUAUAACCGGCGAUGUCCGAAUGGGGAAACCCAGUGCAAUUCGUUGCACUAUCGUUAACUGAAUACAUAGGUUAACGAGGCGAACCGGGGGAACUGAAACAUCUAAGUACCCCGAGGAAAAGAAAUCAACCGAGAUUCCCCCAGUAGCGGCGAGCGAACGGGGAGCAGCCCAGAGUCUGAAUCAGCUUGUGUGUUAGUGGAACGGUCUGGAAAGUCCGACGGUACAGGGUGAUAGUCCCGUACACCAAAAUGCACAGGCUGUGAACUCGAAGAGUAGGGCGGGACACGUGGUAUCCUGUCUGAAUAUGGGGGGACCAUCCUCCAAGGCUAAAUACUCCUGACUGACCGAUAGUGAACCAGUACCGUGAGGGAAAGGCGAAAAGAACCCCGGCGAGGGGAGUGAAAAAGAACCUGAAACCGUGUACGUACAAGCAGUGGGAGCACCUUUAUGGUGUGACUGCGUACCUUUUGUAUAAUGGGUCAGCGACUUAUAUUCUGUAGCAAGGUUAACCGUAUAGGGGAGCCGCAGGGAAACCGAGUCUUAACUGGGCGUUAAGUUGCAGGGUAUAGACCCGAAACCCGGUGAUCUAGCCAUGGGCAGGUUGAAGGUUGGGUAACACUAACUGGAGGACCGAACCGACUAAUGUUGAAAAAUUAGCGGAUGACUUGUGGCUGGGGGUGAAAGGCCAAUCAAACCGGGAGAUAGCUGGUUCUCCCCGAAAGCUAUUUAGGUAGCGCCUCGUGAAUUCAUCUUCGGGGGUAGAGCACUGUUUCGGCUAGGGGGUCAUCCCGACUUACCAACCCGAUGCAAACUACGAAUACCGAAGAAUGUUAUCACGGGAGACACACGGCGGGUGCUAACGUCCGUCGUGAAGAGGGAAACAACCCAGACCGCCAGCUAAGGUCCCAAAGUCAUGGUUAAGUGGGAAACGAUGUGGGAAGGCACAGACAGCCAGGAUGUUGGCUUAGAAGCAGCCAUCAUUUAAAGAAAGCGUAAUAGCUCACUGGUCGAGUCGGCCUGCGCGGAAGAUGUAACGGGGCUAAACCAUGCACCGAAGCUGCGGCAGCGACACUAUGUGUUGUUGGGUAGGGGAGCGUUCUGUAAGCCUGCGAAGGUGACCUGUGAGGGUUGCUGGAGGUAUCAGAAGUGCGAAUGCUGACAUAAGUAACGAUAAAGCGGGUGAAAAGCCCGCUCGCCGGAAGACCAAGGGUUCCUGUCCAACGUUAAUCGGGGCAGGGUGAGUCGACCCCUAAGGCGAGGCCGAAAGGCGUAGUCGAUGGGAAACAGGUUAAUAUUCCUGUACUUGGUGUUACUGCGAAGGGGGGACGGAGAAGGCUAUGUUAGCCGGGCGACGGUUGUCCCGGUUUAAGCAUGUAGGCUGGUUAUCCAGGCAAAUCCGGAUAAUCAAGGCUGAGGUGUGAUGACGAGGCACUACGGUGCUGAAGUAACAAAUGCCCUGCUUCCAGGAAAAGCCUCUAAGCAUCAGGUAACAUCAAAUCGUACCCCAAACCGACACAGGUGGUCAGGUAGAGAAUACCAAGGCGCUUGAGAGAACUCGGGUGAAGGAACUAGGCAAAAUGGUGCCGUAACUUCGGGAGAAGGCACGCUGGUGUGUAGGUGAAGUCCCUGCGGAUGGAGCUGAGACCAGUCGAAGAUACCAGCUGGCUGCAACUGUUUAUUAAAAACACAGCACUGUGCAAACACGAAAGUGGACGUAUACGGUGUGACGCCUGCCCGGUGCCGGAAGGUUAAUUGAUGGGGUUAUCCGUAAGGAGAAGCUCUUGAUCGAAGCCCCGGUAAACGGCGGCCGUAACUAUAACGGUCCUAAGGUAGCGAAAUUCCUUGUCGGGUAAGUUCCGACCUGCACGAAUGGCGUAAUGAUGGCCAGGCUGUCUCCACCCGAGACUCAGUGAAAUUGAACUCGCUGUGAAGAUGCAGUGUACCCGCGGCAAGACGGAAAGACCCCGUGAACCUUUACUAUAGCUUGACACUGAACAUUGAGCCUUGAUGUGUAGGAUAGGUGGGAGGCUUUGAAGCGUGGACGCCAGUCUGCGUGGAGCCAACCUUGAAAUACCACCCUUUAAUGUUUGAUGUUCUAACGUUGGCCCCUUAUCGGGGUUGCGGACAGUGUCUGGUGGGUAGUUUGACUGGGGCGGUCUCCUCCCAAAGCGUAACGGAGGAGCACGAAGGUUAGCUAAUCCUGGUCGGACAUCAGGAGGUUAGUGCAAUGGCAUAAGCUAGCUUGACUGCGAGCGUGACGGCGCGAGCAGGUGCGAAAGCAGGUCAUAGUGAUCCGGUGGUUCUGAAUGGAAGGGCCAUCGCUCAACGGAUAAAAGGUACUCCGGGGAUAACAGGCUGAUACCGCCCAAGAGUUCAUAUCGACGGCGGUGUUUGGCACCUCGAUGUCGGCUCAUCACAUCCUGGGGCUGAAGUAGGUCCCAAGGGUAUGGCUGUUCGCCAUUUAAAGUGGUACGCGAGCUGGGUUUAGAACGUCGUGAGACAGUUCGGUCCCUAUCUGCCGUGGGCGCUGGAGAAUUGAGGGGGGCUGCUCCUAGUACGAGAGGACCGGAGUGGACGCAUCACUGGUGUUCGGGUUGUCAUGCCAAUGGCACUGCCCGGUAGCUAAAUGCGGAAGAGAUAAGUGCUGAAAGCAUCUAAGCACGAAACUUGCCCCGAGAUGAGUUCUCCCUGAGACUUUAAGUCUCCUGAAGGAACGUUAAAGACGAUGACGUUGAUAGGCCGGGUGUGUAAGCGCAGCGAUGCGUUGAGCUAACCGGUACUAAUGAACCGUGAGGCUUAACCU